GUCGAGCGCACAGGUUUACCUGUGAGCGGCAGACGGGUGAGUAACGCGUGGGAAUCUACCUUAAGCUGCGGGAUAACAGAGAGAAAUUUCUGCUAAUACCGCAUGUGCCCGAAAGGGGAAAGAUUUAUCGGCUUAAGAUGAGCCCGCGUUGGAUUAGCUGGUUGGUGGGGUAAAGGCCUACCAAGGCGACGAUCCAUAGCUGGUCUGAGAGGAUGAUCAGCCACACUGGGACUGAGACACGGCCCAGACUCCUACGGGAGGCAGCAGUGGGGAAUAUUGGACAAUGGGCGCAAGCCUGAUCCAGCCAUGCCGCGUGAGUGAUGAAGGCCUUAGGGUUGUAAAGCUCUUUCACCGGAGAAGAUAAUGACGGUAUCCGGAGAAGAAGCCCCGGCUAACUUCGUGCCAGCAGCCGCGGUAAUACGAAGGGGGCUAGCGUUGUUCGGAAUUACUGGGCGUAAAGAGCGCGUAGGCGGAGAGAUAAGUCAGGGGUGAAAUCCCGGGGCUCAACCCCGGAAUUGCCUUUGAUACUGUUUUUCUUGAGUGCAGAAGAGGUAAGUGGAAUUCCGAGUGUAGAGGUGAAAUUCGUAGAUAUUCGGAGGAACACCAGUGGCGAAA
RNAcentral lists this ribosomal RNA (615 nucleotides) under uncultured Hyphomicrobiales bacterium. RNAcentral describes it as "bacterial SSU rRNA". It matches the Rfam family "Bacterial small subunit ribosomal RNA", at positions 61 to 720 of the family's 1533-position model. Lineage: Bacteria; Pseudomonadati; Pseudomonadota; Alphaproteobacteria; Hyphomicrobiales. The record is from RNAcentral.